GACUCGUCGGGGUGACCCGAAAUGACCCGGAGAAGCCGUAGGGAGGUCCGGGGAGAGUUGUCUCUUCUCUAUAAGCGUUCGAGUUCCCUGGAAGCCUCUAGGAGGGAGAUAGGGUUUGGAACGCGAAGAGCACCGCACUUACGGCGGUGUCCGGAUCUUCCCCUCGGACCUUGAAAAUCCGGGCGAGGGCCACGAGGAACACCGCGCCGGCUCGUACCCAUAUCCGCAGCAGGUCUCCAAGGUGAAUAGCCUCUAGUCGAUAGAAUAAUGUAGGUAAGGGAAGUCGGCAAACCCGAUCUGUAACUUCGGGAUAAGGAUUGGCUCUGAGGAUCGUGGCGCGCCGGGCUUGGUCGGGAAGUGGAGCGGUGCCAACGUGCCGGGCCUGGGCGAGGUGAAGGGCGCUUUGCCGCCUGGACCCUAGCUCGGUCCCGUGCCUUGGCCACCCACGGACCUUCCUUGCUGCGAGCCCCCCGGCUGUCUAGUUUCCGGCUACAGCCGGA
RNAcentral lists this ribosomal RNA (500 nucleotides) under Petalocnemis inconditus. RNAcentral's name for it is "partial large subunit ribosomal RNA". It matches the Rfam family "Eukaryotic large subunit ribosomal RNA", at positions 1633 to 2092 of the family's 3401-position model. The record is from RNAcentral. Lineage: Eukaryota; Metazoa; Arthropoda; Insecta; Hemiptera; Coreidae.